UGCAAAUGGCAGAGUACUUGCCUUAGUACC
Molecule: non-coding RNA, 30 nt
Filed under: Rattus norvegicus (Norway rat)
Lineage: Eukaryota; Metazoa; Chordata; Mammalia; Rodentia; Muridae
Source: RNAcentral